This 743-nucleotide small RNA is filed under the name Pongo abelii (Sumatran orangutan). Its description in RNAcentral is "retained intron". The record is from RNAcentral. Lineage: Eukaryota; Metazoa; Chordata; Mammalia; Primates; Hominidae.
UCACACCGCGAGUCACUUGUCAGCCCUUGUCUGAGGCGGAGGCAGCGCCGCGCCGCGCCGGACCCGAGCAUAUUUCAUUUUCUGUCAUUGGACUUUGAGCCAUUAGAACCAUGAGCAACUACAGUGUGUCACUGGUUGGCCCAGCUCCUUGGGGUUUCCGGCUGCAAGGCGGCAAGGAUUUCAACAUGCCUCUGACAAUCUCUAGUCUAAAAGAUGGCGGCAAGGCAGCCCAGGCAAAUGUAAGAAUAGGCGAUGUGGUUCUCAGCAUUGAUGGAAUAAGUGCACAAGGAAUGACUCAUCUUGAAGCCCAGAAUAAGAUUAAGGGUUGUACAGGCUCUUUGAAUAUGACUCUGCAAAGAGCAUCUGCUACACCCAAGCCUGAGCCGGUUCCUGUUCAAAAGGUGUGUUUUUAAGCUAGCACCCAGAGUAUCAUUUGAUUGUCCUUGCUGAGCUACUGUAAUUCUCAUUUCUGUCUCAGACCAUACUGACAUUCAUUUAAUUUAUAGUCUUAGUACAAUUUUCCUUGUAGUUCUUUCCCUUCAGAGAUGAGUAGGAAAAUGGAGAUCAGCACAUACCGUUUGUAAUUAUACAUGUUAUAAAACAUUAUUUCCAAAGCCAUAUGCUACAAUAACUUAUGUCAGAUUUCUUACAUUUCUAUUCACUUUUGAUGUGCCCAUCUUUAUCCAAAUUGUUAUAUUUUCUAAAGAGAAUAAAUAAGUGGUUACUGAAAAUUAAUAUCACAA